Non-coding RNA from Acanthosepion pharaonis, 113 nucleotides. The record is from the annotation of a GenBank genome assembly. NCBI's taxonomy places the organism in Eukaryota, Metazoa, Mollusca, Cephalopoda, Sepiida, Sepiidae.
UGUGACCACUUCAUGUUGAAACACCAAUUCCCAUAUGAUCACCAAAGUUAAGCAACAUCGAGCCUGAUCAGUACCUAGGUGGGUGACUGUUUGAGAAUACCAGGUGCUGUAAG